This 423-nucleotide ribosomal RNA is filed under the name uncultured bacterium. RNAcentral's name for it is "bacterial SSU rRNA". It matches the Rfam family "Bacterial small subunit ribosomal RNA", at positions 917 to 1341 of the family's 1533-position model. The record is from RNAcentral.
GGGUCCGCACAAGCGGUGGAGCAUGUGGUUUAAUUCGAUGAUACGCGAGGAACCUUACCUGGGCUAGAAUGCCUUUGCCAUUCCGGGAAACCGGAAGUUCCUUCGGGACGAAGUGCAAGGUGCUGCAUGGUUGUCGUCAGCUCGUGCCGUGAGGUGUUGGGUUAAGUCCCGCAACGAGCGCAACCCUUAUUCUUAGUUGCCAGCAUGUAAUGGUGGGGACUCUAAGAAGACUGCCUGCGCAAGCAGAGAGGAAGGAGGGGAUGACGUCAAAUCAUCAUGGCCCUUACGCCCAGGGCUACACACGUGCUACAAUGGCGCAUACAGAGGGUAGCUACCUGGUAACAGGAUGCCAAUCUCAAAAAGUGCGUCUCAGUUCGGAUCGAAGUCUGCAACUCGACUUCGUGAAGGUGGAAUCGCUAGUAA